This 451-nucleotide ribosomal RNA is filed under the name uncultured bacterium. RNAcentral describes it as "bacterial SSU rRNA". It matches the Rfam family "Bacterial small subunit ribosomal RNA", at positions 335 to 799 of the family's 1533-position model. The record is from RNAcentral.
ACUCCUACGGGAGGCAGCAGUGGGGAAUAUUGGACAAUGGGGGCAACCCUGAUCCAGCCAUGCCGCGUGAGUGAAGAAGGCCUUAGGGUUGUAAAACUCUUUCAACUGUGAGGAUGAUGACAGUAGCAGUAGAAGAAGCACCGGCUAACUUCGUGCCAGCAGCCGCGGUAAUACGAAGGGGUGCGAGCGUUGUUCGGAAUUACUGGGCGUAAAGGGGCGUGUAGGCGGAUUGGCAAGAUAGAGGUGAAAGGCCUGGGGCUCAACCUGGGGAACUGCCUUUAUAACUUCCAGUCUAGAGAUCGAGAGAGGAUAGCGGAAUUCCUAGUGUAGAGGUGAAAUUCGUAGAUAUUAGGAAGAACACCAGUGGCGAAGGCGGCUAUCUGGCUCGAUACUGACGCUGAGGCGCGAAAGCGUGGGGAGCAAACAGGAUUAGAUACCCUGGUAGGCGUAG